CUGGCGGCGUGCCUAAUACAUGCAAGUCGAACGGCUUUUCUAUGGAAGCUUGCUUCCACUGAGAAGAUAGUGGCGAACGGGUGAGUAACACGUGGGUAACCUGCCCAUAAGAGGGGGAUAACAUCCGGAAACGGGUGCUAAUACCGCAUAGUUUUCUUGAUCGCAUGAUCGGGAAAGGAAAGACGGCCUUUGUGCUGUCGCUUAUGGAUGGACCCGCGGCGUAUUAGUUAGUUGGUGAGGUAACGGCUCACCAAGACGAUGAUACGUAGCCGACCUGAGAGGGUGAUCGGCCACAUUGGGACUGAGACACGGCCCAAACUCCUACGGGAGGCAGCAGUAGGGAAUCUUCCGCAAUGGACGAAAGUCUGACGGAGCAACGCCGCGUGAGUGAAGAAGGUUUUUACCGGGAUCGUAAAACUCUGUUGUCAGAGAAGAACAAGUUGGAGAGUAACUGCUCCAGCCUUGACGGUAUCUGACCAGAAAGCCACGGCUAACUACGUGCCAGCAGCUGC
This 512-nucleotide ribosomal RNA is filed under the name uncultured bacterium. RNAcentral's name for it is "bacterial SSU rRNA". It matches the Rfam family "Bacterial small subunit ribosomal RNA", at positions 36 to 518 of the family's 1533-position model. The record is from RNAcentral.